GCAGGAUGGUUUUAACGUGCUGCCACAUGGAACACAAAGGAUCAUUUUGAAUACCUUCUAGAUAUUUUUCCUGCACACGAUGAAUGGAUUUAAAACCUCCAAGUCCACUUCCAAUUGUGGAUAGAAUCCUUUUCCAUUUUGGAUGCUCUCUUCCCCAGUCUGGCAGAGAUCGAUGGACAAGAUUUUUGCUUUUAAAUAUUAUUGAAGUUGUAUUUCAGACAAAUCUUUCUAUUUGAGACCACCUAAAUGGGCAAGUGUUUGAACAGAUACUUUUAUGAGGAUGCUUGAUUUCAAAGCUAUUUUCAGGUGUUAAAGAAGAGGAAGUCUUCAGAGAGUAGAGAAAAUGUUUUCCAUUUAAUCAUUACACAGUAGAUAAAAGAAAAUAACAGCUCUGUUUAGUUGGAGGGAUGGAGGCAUUGGCCAACCAAGGAUGAGGUGUGGAGGAAGCCCUUCCUUUGUGUCACAUGACUGGCUUGUACCCACAACAUCGCUCCUCGGUGGGCAAGGAGAACGAGCGUGGCAGGAGUGGCACGUGUCCUGGAGCAGUCUGGUCUCUCCAUUUACCAAACGUCCCCAUAGGACAGCUCUGUUUUCGUAAACAGCAUGUUGAGUGGAUCGGUCCGGGCCUUCAGGUUUAGUGGGUGGAUCAGACUGGGACUUCAGGAGAAGGACUGAACUCUGAUACAACUUUCUUCAGGAUGACCUUGAUUCUCUGUGUGUGUGUGUGUUAAGAAAAUCCAGGAAGUGUCUCCAUAUUUGUUGUCUGUCCUCUCUCUGUCCUCCACAAAUCCCCUUAUAUCCCUUAUCUGCAGCAUAGCUGAACCUCUGUGGGGUCAUUCCACUAAUUUGGUGCAAAUGUACCUUGGUCAAAAAAAAUAAAUCCCUCUCAAAGAGAUAAAAAAAUAUAUAUAAUGGUGAAAGUAAUUGCCUCCUGAAUUUUAAAUGAAGUAGUUGGGUUGAUUAUCUAAUUUUAAGUCUGUGGUUCAAUGUGUUGCUUGCGCAGAGACAAAUUAUCCUGUCUGACAUUCUACCCAUCCACACAGGACAAUGUUGAUAUUAAUAGCACAAACAAUUAUUUAUUGAAUAAUCCACGUGAUAUAUAUUUAGGGGCACUUAAUAAAAACGUUUUUAAAAUGCAAUAUUAAUGACGAUUUUAUUUAUUUUUUUACCAAAAAUGCGCAUAUAGAUGCUAAAUAAACUCCUGUGGAAGAUGAUUCCAACAUGCCUAAAAUAAAUGGCUCCAUUCUUGACAUAAAUUAAACAUUACAGCGUGUUUUACAUGUUAAUGUAAGUGGAAAUGUAAUCUUAUUAUUUAUUAUUUAUUAAUUAUUUUAUUGACUAAUUCCAUUGACAGGAAGUAGGCCUACUAUUACAGCUGGUUAACCGAGAUUAGUGAGACAGCCUUAACAUAUUUCGGGUCCAUCGGAAUGUACUUUUACAUUUAAUUUGUAUAGAUCGUUAUGUGGAUACUGUACUGUAAGGGUGAUGGCGUUUGUAAUGUUGUAAUCCAAAACAAUACAGAUAAAGUAGUUCAAGAUGUUCGCUUUCUCUCUCCUUCUGUCCUUUGAAUCGCCUUAUCUGUCUUCAUCUGCUCGUAUUUUAUCUUUUUUUUUUUUUUUUAUCGCUAUCAGUCCUUUGCUCUGACAGUGCUUUGUUGACACAUUCAACAACUAAUUGGGCUGUCGUAGGGAGGUGAACCAUAGAGAAACCACAGGCGGACUGCAGAAGCACCCACGGCCACCAUCUCCAGAGACACAUGCCUUAUGAAAGACACGCAGCUGUGUCGUCCACCUACCGGCCCAAGUCCUCGGAGCGCUGCGGGACGGAUGAUUCAUUUAGAGUUCGGCUCUGUUUAUUUUGUCAACAGUGCACCUGCUGCCUGCCUAGCCCACAAACUCACCGUAGCACGCGCCAAAACUCACACGUGCCGUUUCCACUAAUCAUCUCACUUUCUCAGAACACAACAAUGCCCCAGGUGACUUUGCUUGGCACCCCAGCACCGACCAACCUGUUGGAGAAUGUACCGGAGUUUUGCAACCCUUCAUGUUGAGCAGUGAUAAAAAGACUGAUUAUCUUCCUCCCACGUGAAUGGCUGGAGAAACAUCUGUUUACCACUCUACUCCAGAGGAAGGGUUGCAAAAAUAUGUUAACGGUUCCAAAAUAUCCCGGCUUAUCGGAAAACCCGGUGGGAGGUUUCCCGGGAUCAGGAGUGACUGGGAAAUCCGGAGUCCUAUUAUCAGGCGUUCAGGAAAACCUCCACCUCUCGCCUUGCUUACUGGGUUUCUUUCCACCUUAUUCACACUUAGUCCCAUCUAGCUGAUAUGUCUUCACUGAUUGAUGAAGAACUUGAACUGUGUUCCAAAAACGAUCCUCUCAAGCGUCUUUACCUCUCUCAAUCGCAAUGGCUGCCUCCCUCUCUCCACACCUCCCUUUCGCACUACAUUUCUCUCUCUGCAGUACAUCCGUUUGUUGGACAGGUGUGUGGGUCUCUGCAGUGAGUGAUGGAACAGGUGUAGUGGAAGAUUUACUGAUAUUAGUAUACAGUUUGUUUCAAAAGAGUACAGGCAUUUCUUGGAACUGAGGUUACACAAUGAUGGUCAAGUACUUUUGCAUCCAUUUUCUGCCCUAGUACUCAGACUACAUGUCUCAGACCCACUUUUGAAAAUGUUUAAAUGCAGUUGUAAUAAAUGAAUGCAAAAUUAACUAUGAAUUACUUUGUUCUCAUAAUAUCAAAUGUUGUUUUCAUCAGAAAAAUGUUGCAAUGUUGUUUUCUCUCUUCACUGCAAUCAGCAAAUACUGCUGCUGGAAACCUCUGAUUGCCUUCAUCAAUAGCGGGCCUAAAAUAUGUACCACAUAAUUGACAGAUGGAUGCAUACGGACUGUUCCUUUAAUUGAUCCCCAUCACAUUCCAGAGGAUUCAAUUAGGUCACUUUCCACGUCUCCAACAUUACAGAGCUUAGCUGUGGUGUGGUUUUAGGUCUCCAUACAUCCAUGCCGGCUAUGUUCCUCUGCUGUAUUCAAUAUUACUCAUCCUUAAGGGGAAUUGUCUUUGUGUUGGGAUGGGAAGGCAACAGGCCUUUGGUCCGACUAGCCUAUGGAGGUACUGUAUGGUUUGUGAUUGGGAUACACAGUCCUAUUCAGUACUUACUGUAUAAAUACUAUGGUGUUUGGAGAAAAAAUGCAGUACAAAUUGCCAUAUUUUUCCUGUGUGUGUGUGUGUGUGUCUGUGCAUAUCUUUGAUCUAUUACAAGCAUAUACUUUAUCAACAUCAGGAUAAUUGGCCAUAGCUUGUCUUUUUUGUAUGUGUGUUUAUUUAUGUGCCUGUGUAUCUCUCUGUGUGUGUGUGUGUCUGUGUGUGAGUGUGUGUAGUUGUGAGUGUAAAAGCAGGUUAUGGGGUGUCUGUGUGCCAACAGGACAGCCUUGGGGCGACCUGUUCUUACUCUCUACCAGGACUUGUGAGGGCUUGUCCUCAGAUCCUUCACCCCUGAUAGUCUUACCGUUUAGAAACCUCUGUCGUCUCCAGCAGUUGAAAGUGAGUGCACCGUAAAUUUCCACACAUGACUUGUGAUCUGAUCGAAUCUUUCCUUUAUGACCUUCAUGCCACGUGGGAUCCAUCACUGUCAUUCUGAGAGAAAGAGAGAGAGCAAAGGCUAUCGGAGAGAUUGACAGUUGGUCGGAGAAGUGUAACAGGUUUUCCAAAGGGCACAGAACAUCUAACCAAGUCUCCCAGUCCAUCGACAGUUCAGCGUGUUCAGUGAUCCUGAAUGUUGAAGUGGUGCGGUCCGGGGCUAGGCUGUGGGUUUAACCCUUCCUGGCUCUGCGCCACAGCGGGGACCAGCAGCCAAUGGGAGCGCAUGCACCAGGGCUCAUCAACACUGUUAGCAUAUGUAAAUACGUUGAUGCAUGCAACCACGUGACGUUUUGUGUCUUUCACGAUGUUGCGUGUUACCUCAACACUCGUGAAAAGCCUCACCAGUUGUAACGAAGGGAUGGGCCGCUCUCCGUUAUUCAAGGUGUAAUCCCUGCCUCAUCCUCUCACACCUGGGAACCAUUGUUAUGCUUCAUUUAUCUCCCCUUGCCAAUGACACUGGAGUCUUAGUGAAAUCCCGGUUCUAAGUGAAACCACCAUUUAAUCCAUGCCCAACUGGCUGAGAAGCACCUGUACCUCCACCUGUUUACACCCGCAGAAAUGUAAUACACCUACGACACAGUCACUUACUACACCUACGACCACUUACAACAUCUAUGACACCUAUGACAACUUUCUACACUUACGACCACUUACUACACCUAUGACACCUACGACCACUUACUACACCUACAACACCUAUGACAACUUUCUACACUUACGACCACUUACUACACCUAUGACACCUACAACCACCUACGAACACUUACUACACCUGCGACCACUUACUACACCUACGACCACUUACUACACCUACAACCACUUACUACACAUACGACACCUAUGACCACUUUCUACACUUACGACCACUUACUACACCUGUGACACCUACAACCACCGACGAACACUUUCUACACCUACAACCACUUACUACACCUACAACACCUAUGACCACUUACUACACCUACGACACCUAUGACCAUAUAAUACACCUAUGACACCUACGACCACUUACGACACCUACAACUACUUACUACACCUGCUACAUCAACAACACCAAUGACCACCUACUAUACAUGCAAUGACCACCUAUGACAACUAGUACACCUAGUACACCUAUGGUCACCUACUACACCUGCUACAUCCAUGACACCAACAACCACCUACUAUACCUGCUACACCAACAACCACCUACUAUACCUGCUACACCAACAACCACCUACUAUACCUGCUACACCAACAACCACCUACUAUACCUGCUAUGACCACCUACUACACCUGCUAUGACACCAGCAACCACCUACUACACCUACUACACCAACGGCCACCUACUAUACCUGCUACGACUGCCUACGACCAUCUACAACACCAACAACAUCUGCAACACCUACGACACCAACGACACCUACUCUUUCAGUGCUUUUGAAUGGGAGCACACAAUGUUCUUACUCAUGUUAUUGUCUCUAAUUGAAUCCAAUUUAGUAAGUCCUGUGGAACCAGGAACCUGAUUGAAUAAGACGCUUUUCUGUUAAAUGGAUUUAAAAAAAAAAAAACGAAAUAUAUCUGGCAAUGUUUUAUGUUGUAUUUCAAAAUACUCCCAAUGUAUGGUAUUUUUCGGUAUGGGCAACGGAGAUGCUGCAACGAGAGAAAACCUGGGUUCACUGAUGUUUUUAUGGCAUAGAAAUAGAGCCACCAGAACAGGCACACCCUGUCAGACCCCAGUUGUUUGAUUCUAAUGAUUCUAUUUCCAUGAGCUUACACUGAGUCACAACUGACAGAGGGCACAAGCCUAUAUGGUUUUAAAUGAUUACUGACUUUGUUUGGGUGCGUGGGGAUCUCCAGGAGACACGCAGGUAUCGGCGCGGAUCUGAGCAUUGUCACGUGGCCUGUCCUAGGAGAGACAGACAGCGAACACCUAAUCCCCUCUCCAGUCAGGGAAGCAGCGCUACUGGGGGGUUAGCUGGCGACUGUCGCCAGCCUCUCUGGUUCCCAGUGGGUGUGUGUGUGUGUGUGUGUGUGUUGUUUACUCCUGUGUGCUCUUAUCCCGUUGAUUGAAACCCGUGGGAGAUGUGGAGGGUAUAGGGGCGAGGCGGUUCGUAUAGGGGCUUACAGAGCGGACUGCCAGGGUGACAGGAGAGGCAGGCUGGGACAGGACCGUAAGCAGGUGACCUGGGAGUCGGACAGCCACUGAAACACACAGACAUACACAGACAGCGCUUCCCGCAUAUCCUGCCUCCUCCACCUGAGACUGUGUUUUCUGUUAACGUGAGCUCUGUUGUAAUUGUGCGUCCAUCAGGUGAGACAGAACGUUAUCUGUCUUGCGAGUCAGGGCGUUCUUGUCUGUGAUGUACUACAACAUCAUUUGAACUAAUGGCCCUUUUUCGGGUUCAUGUUUUGUACCGUGAACUUUGACACGAUUGGCGAAUUGAUGUACCGCACAUGACGGAAUUUAAGAAAUAAAAUUGUAAUAAACUA
Molecule: long non-coding RNA, 6103 nt
Organism: Esox lucius (northern pike)
Lineage: Eukaryota; Metazoa; Chordata; Actinopteri; Esociformes; Esocidae
Exons: 3
Source: RefSeq, a predicted model, not a curated record